RNAcentral lists this transfer RNA (74 nucleotides) under Candidatus Vogelbacteria bacterium. RNAcentral describes it as "tRNA-Met". It matches the Rfam family "tRNA". From Rfam's summary of the family: Transfer RNA (tRNA) molecules are approximately 80 nucleotides in length. The record is from RNAcentral. Lineage: Bacteria; Candidatus Vogeliibacteriota.
CGCGGAGUGGAGGAAAGGUACCUCGGGAGGCUCAUAACCUCCAGAAGCCGGUUCGAUUCCGGCCUCCGCAACAA